CCUGCGUAUUUUUCAACGUUAGAGCAGCAUGCUUCUGCCUAAGGCGUUUCUGUAACCCUUUAGGUUUACAACCUUGCAUCUAAAUUUUACCGGAUUGUUUAACGCGAAUAGACCACGGUAUUCCAAGGCAAGGUUGAAUUUACUAUGAUUCUGGUAACGAAAACGGCUAUUUUCGAGAUAUUAUUCUUCAGUACAGUAUGUGCCAUGCUUCAUGUUGAAGAUGAUUUCAUAGGUUUGCCAUUCGAACGCACCACCCGAGUACAAUAUUUCGGUGAUUAUUCGCCCUCCUACAGCAACAAUUAUUACUUUGGAUUGGCCAGACCAAAUCGCCCUCAGAGAACCGUUUGGCCUCGUCCAGGAUACCCUUCCUUCACAUUUGAUGCACAGAAGUGUGGGAGAACGACCUGCCCGCGAGGAACUCGAUGUGCCUCCUUCAAAGUCUACUGCUUCGGCGGUAAUUGUCCACUGGUGUACUACUGUCAGCCAACAAGUCGAGAGCACAUAAAUCCAUACCUGAAUUCUCGUUAUUUCUCUUGAGAAGAAUACGAAAUCAACAUAAGGACGUAUCGUUCUUCGUGCAGCACAAUAAAAGAGUAGCAUACUUA
Molecule: long non-coding RNA, 605 nt
Organism: Dermacentor albipictus
Lineage: Eukaryota; Metazoa; Arthropoda; Arachnida; Ixodida; Ixodidae
Source: RefSeq, a predicted model, not a curated record